Molecule: long non-coding RNA, 254 nt
Filed under: Nicotiana benthamiana
Lineage: Eukaryota; Viridiplantae; Streptophyta; Magnoliopsida; Solanales; Solanaceae
Description: long non-coding RNA (NBEN_LNC042001)
Source: RNAcentral
AUAUAUGUGUGUGUGUGUGUGUGUGUGUGUGUGGCGAAUCUAGGGUGUUGUUACUUUUUGCAUAGGCACUGUAUUUCUAUUAAGAAAUCAUUUAAAUAUUUAUAAAUAUUUAAUUAUGAACCCAGUUACUAUUGCAUAUUAACUUAGGCCCUGUUUGAGCCAAAAUAAAUUUGGAAUUUAUUUUCGAAACUCAUGUUUGGUCAUAAAUUUUGACCACAUCUUGGCCAAAUGCCAAAUCCGAAAUCCCAAAUACC